AGGAAAUAAUUUUUUAAAUUUUCAUCUUCAGUUUUGAAAGACUUAGUUCUUAUAAGUUUUUCUUUUUUAAGGAAAAGAAAAAUGGGCCUAUAGCUCAGUUGGUUAGAGCACACGCCUGAUAAGCGUGAGGUCGAUGGUUCAAGUCCAUUUAGGCCCACCA
RNAcentral lists this transfer RNA (160 nucleotides) under Sugarcane green grassy shoot phytoplasma. Its description in RNAcentral is "partial 16S-23S ribosomal RNA intergenic spacer". The stretch from base 84 to 157 matches the Rfam family "tRNA". The record is from RNAcentral. Lineage: Bacteria; Bacillati; Mycoplasmatota; Mollicutes; Acholeplasmatales; Acholeplasmataceae.